GUUGAACGUAGGCGCAGCGAACAAGCAGGUGUUCGGAGAGUGAGUGAGCAAAAUCCCGUGUCUCCAUACAUACAUACAUAGAUUUGAAUACACAAUUAUGCGUUAGUAUGCUUGAUCAGGUAUAACAUAGGCGUCAUGUCCAUGGAUGGUUUGAGAGCGUAUGCGUAAUCGCAUGUAAGAGUGUGAACCCGGUAUGGAAUGGAAUGAUUACACGUUGGUGGAGUAGAGGUGGUGAUUUUGACAUAAGUUGAUUAUUAAUUUUGUCCACAGACCACAUAAUAGUCAGUACUUCAACGGUUGACGUACACUUGAGAAGAGUGCGCAUGAUGAGGUAGCGAUCAGUAUAAAAAAGUUUCAUUGAUUGGAUUUACGAGAUUGGAAAAACUCAAUUGAACUCGAUUAGAAAAAUUGGAGAAGGAAACGAACAGGCGCAUUCGAUAGUAUAAAAUAAUUAUUUGACAAAACGUUUUUUAUCUACAUAUGUACAUAUAUGACGCCCAAGAUCAGCUUAUGCCUGACAUGGAGGUUGGAAGAGGGAUUGAACAGCUUGGAUUUCAGAAAUUGUAUGGUUGAAUAUUUCGGAAACGUGAAAACCCCAAGUGGCUAGAAAUGAAUACACUAAUGAUUUGAAAUUUUCGAACCAUACUUACUCUGAGGACAUUUCAAACCGUCGAUUAAAGACUAAAAUAAAGAGAUCCAAUAGUCUCGGCGAACCACAGUGCUCAAUGCGGAAAUGUAAAAUAAUGCAUAUAUACAUAAAUACGUAUUUACAUAUGUAGGCUAUAUGUGGCAUAUCAGCAGAAGUAUCCGGAUGUUGCAAAUAUUAAAUGGCUUCUUACGAGGAACUACUGUUCGAUUGGGUUGGAUUAUUCCGACAGACAGAUUAUGAACAAUGGACACAAGCGGGUAAGUAAUAACUGAAUCUUAAGCAUAUUUAAUUAAAUAAUAUGUGCUCGCUAAUUUUUCGAUGGCGAAUUGUUGUGUCCAGCAAAACUUUAAAUAUUUUAAGGAAACUCGGUCCAUAAAACAAUUUAUUUUAGAUAUAAGAAACUAUGUAAUCAUUAGAACAGAAUUGAGUAAUAAAGUUUUGACCAUAACUAUUUGCACGAGCUCCAUAAUUGAAUGUAAUCUAAGUUCUAAUUAGUUUUGUCAACGGUGGUAUAUUAGUCUGAUAUAUCAUUUUCUUAGAAAAAUGGAUUUUGUCUACUUACUAGCUCAAUAAAAAGAGUCCCUUACAUCAGAAAGAUAUAUAAGAAUAGCUACACAAGGAGAAGAAUUGUCU
Molecule: long non-coding RNA, 1282 nt
Organism: Bactrocera tryoni
Lineage: Eukaryota; Metazoa; Arthropoda; Insecta; Diptera; Tephritidae
Exons: 3
Source: RefSeq, a predicted model, not a curated record